UCCCAACACAUGAAACACGGCAUGUUUAUCAUACACUUGGCCAUGGGUGAUGAUUCCUAUUAUGAAAUGUAUCUGGAAGAGGAAAAAAGGGGGAAGGGAGGAUAACCUCCCAUGUCAUCUUUUUCUUUCCUGUAUAUUUUAUCAGCAAAGUAGAGGAAGGAUUCAACUAGCAGUAACUCCUAGCUCCAACCAUCGCCAUAGAAAACUUAUGUGACUCUGAAGCCGUGUUCAAGAUAAGUAGGAAAGGACUGGGAACUGAAAUGAUGGCUUCUCGCAUGCUUUUUUAAAAAGUGUUGAGCCAGUAAGCUAAAUACCCGGCCCUGCUUCAGAAUUGGAGCUGUACUGUGACAUGUAAGCCAUUCCAACUCAAAGCAUUAACAUGACUUGAUCCAGGAAGCAAAACUCAUUUAGAAUACCUGGAAACUGAGCUAACCUGACAUUAAAUAACUGCCAUGCAACUAUGUCCCAGUCACCAAGUUCUGAGGUUGUUAAAAACACAAAAUAUACUAAGGCUAGCAUACAGAAAGUAGGAAAAUGUGUGCUGACUAUCCAUGAGGAGGCCAGGGUGUGUGGUAAUUAUCCACCCCAAUGAAAAUCCACUUUUUUCAAUGUGGGAGAAGACACAGAACACAGUGAACAGGAUAUGUUAACUCCCUUUUUAUCACUACUCUGGCCCUAACACGCCAAUGCUUAUUCUGGCACUUCAACUAUCUCAAGCGUGCCAAGUAAACACAGUGCCUUCUGUAAUUACUUCAGAAAAGGAUACCAAGGAAAAUCUCAACUAGAGCCAAAGCAUCAGCAGAGAGCCUCUAUCUGUUUUACUGCAAGGCCUGAUACCAAAACCUUGGCUCAGAAAACAUAUACAUAUUUACCCAUUCUGUGUUAGCCCAAAGAAAAGCACACGCUACAGUGUUUCAAAUACUUUUACCUUGAGUUACUGAACACAAACAAGACUUUUCGAUGGAAGGAGCAGUCUGAGGAUUGUACUAUGAAAGUUUGUCUAGUUGCUAUUUAUCAGAUCUGUCAGGCAGAGUGGAGCACAUUUGCUCCCACAUCCUUGUGCUUAGUAUUCCAGACUAAAUGUGUCCUCUCCCCACUGGGGAUG
Molecule: long non-coding RNA, 1105 nt
Organism: Mastomys coucha (southern multimammate mouse)
Lineage: Eukaryota; Metazoa; Chordata; Mammalia; Rodentia; Muridae
Exons: 2
Source: RefSeq, a predicted model, not a curated record